Molecule: long non-coding RNA, 1080 nt
Filed under: Anser brachyrhynchus (Pink-footed goose)
Lineage: Eukaryota; Metazoa; Chordata; Aves; Anseriformes; Anatidae
Description: lncRNA (ENSABRG00000016896.1)
Source: RNAcentral
CUCUUGUUCACUCUCGCACCCUUCUGGUGUAGCAGGUGGAAAAGAAACCAAAAGUAAACGCGGCAGCCUGUGGGGCAUGAGCCUAAAGACGAGGGCGAUGCCUUUGGAGCAGGGGGAGCAAUUGCCUUCCUCCCCUCUCAGAAAGGCCCACCAGCCCUUUCGGCAGCACUGUGCACCACAGGAACUGGUGUGAAGCUACCAAGGCUCGGCAGGAGGGAGGUGGGCGAGCACCGAGCAGAGGCACGCGAGUAAGAGGGCAGGGCUGGGGGGGCGAGCCAGCCGGGAGUUUCCAGCCAUGCAGCUGCUGCGAGCGCCCAACCCAGCGCUCAAAACACGGAGCAAUGCACAGCGACUCAGGAAGGCCUGUGAGGAGGAUAUAAAUGCCUAACCCACCAUUUCCUUCCCCCGGCUCAGCCUACCUCGCAGCAACUAGCUGACAUGUCCGGGCACCUACAGGCAGCGCUGGUAUGGGGCGCCACUGGCAUUCCCCGUGUCGAAGUAGCUCCUGAGGAGGACAUCUGGACAGUGAUUUCCAGGCCAACUCAUCCUUCUGGGAGGUGCAGUCCCCAAAGACGCUGGGAAGAGCUUCCAGGCACAAAAGGCUGCAGAAUAUUCAAUUGUGGAAUCACACCGGAGCCUACUCUCAUAUCCAGGAUGUGCCCCAAGCCUAGGAAGCAGCAAAGCCAGACCAGACCAGACCUGCUCUAUCUAGGAACAAAUUCACUUUGUCUGGCAUGCCUUCAGGUCCCUGAUGACGAGUUUUGGACCAAGUGCAUAUUUUCAUCCUGAUUUUUGGUCUUUCAAGUUGCAGCUGUGAGUCUUUGGAGAGUCACUGCUCUCCUCCUGCCAACCCUUCUGCAUGGCAAAGAAUUACCAUGGGGACUGGCAUGCAAACAGCAAGGCCAAAAAUGCUCGUGAACAUACUGAAUACUGAUGAACUAAUGCAACUUCCUUUGUCAUUUUGACGUAACCAGGCUCUCAGAAAAGUAACAGUUACUUUGCUAGGUGUGUAACAGAAGGUUCACUACAUGUUUGCUCUAUCUAUCCUUUUUGUAAUAAAAUGGACCCCCAUUACGUACA